Molecule: ribosomal RNA, 516 nt
Filed under: uncultured bacterium
Lineage: Bacteria
Description: bacterial SSU rRNA
Rfam family: Bacterial small subunit ribosomal RNA
Source: RNAcentral
ACACGGACCAGACUCCUACGGAGGCAGCAGUAGGAAUAUUGGUCAAUGGAGGCAACUCUGAACCAGCAUGCCGCGUGCAGGAAGACUGCCCUAUGGGUUGUAAACUGCUUUUGUACGGGAAGAAAUGUUGCUACGUGUAGCAAUUUGACGGUACCGUAAGAAUAAGGAUCGGCUAACUUCGUGCCAGCAGCCGCGGUAAUACGAAGGAUCCAAGCGUUGUCCGGAUUUACUGGGUUUAAAGGGAGCGUAGGCGGUCUCAUAAGUCAGUGGUGAAAGCCUUCAGCUUAACUGAAGAAUUGCCAUUGAAACUGCGAGACUCGAGUAUGGUUGAGGUCACUGGAAUAUAACAUGUAGCGGUGAAAUGCUUAGAUAUGUUAUAGAACACCAAUUGCGAAGGCAGGUGACUAAGCCAUAACUGACGCUGAGGCUCGAAAGCGUGGGGAGCAAAACAGGAUUAGAUACCCUGGUAGUCCACGCCCCUAAACGUUGAAUACUCGGUCUUGGCGAUAUACAGUC